AGUGAACGCUGGCGGUAGGCCUAACACAUGCAAGUCGAACGGCAGCACAGUAAGAUCUUGCUCUUACGGGUGGCGAGUGGCGGACGGGUGAGGAAUACAUCGGAAUCUACUUUUUCGUGGGGGAUAACGUAGGGAAACUUACGCUAAUACCUCAUACGACCUACGGGUGAAAGCAGUGGAUCUUCGGACCUUGCGCGAUUGAAUGAGCCGAUGUCGGAUUAGCUAGUUGGCGGGGUAAAGGCCCACCAAGGCGACGAUCCGUAGCUGGUCUGAGAGGAUGAUCAGCCACACUGGAACUGAGACACGGUCCAGACUCCUACGGGAGGCAGCAGUGGGGAAUAUUGGACAAUGGGCGCAAGCCUGAUCCAGCAAUACCGCGUGGGUGAAGAAGGCCUUCGGGUUGUAAAGCCCUUUUGUUGGGAAAGAAAAGCAGCAGGUUAAUACCCCGCUGUUCUGACGGUACCCAAAGAAUAAGCACCGGCUAACUUCGUG
This 492-nucleotide ribosomal RNA is filed under the name uncultured bacterium. RNAcentral describes it as "partial 16S ribosomal RNA". It matches the Rfam family "Bacterial small subunit ribosomal RNA", at positions 29 to 507 of the family's 1533-position model. The record is from RNAcentral.